UUGGAGGGCAAGUCUGGUGCCAGCAGCCGCGGUAAUUCCAGCUCCAAUAGCGUAUGUUAAAGUUGUUGCAGUUAAAAAGCUCGUAGUUGAAUUUCGGAGUUAGCAGGUUGGUCGUGCCACUGGUAUGAACUGGCCUUGCUGAUUCCUCCCUCUUGAUGAGCCGUAAUGCCAUUAAUUUGGUGUUGCGAGGAAUCAGGACUGUUACUUUGAAAAAAUUAGAGUGUUUAAAGCAGGCAAGCGCUUGAAUACAUUAGCAUGGAAUAAUGAAAUAGGACGUUUGAUCUUAUUUUGUUGGUUUCUAAGAUUGACGUAAUGAUUAAUAGGGAUAGUUGGGGGCAUUAGUAUUCAAUUGUCAGAGGUGAAAUUCUUGGAUUUAUUGAAGACUAACUACUGCGAAAGCAUUUGCCAAGGAUGUUUUCAUUAAUCAAGAACGAAAGUUAGGGGAUCGAAGACGAUCAGAUACCGUCGUAGUCUUAACCAUAAACUAUGCCGACUAGGGAUCGGAUGAUGUUAAUUUUUUAAUGACUCAUUCGGCGCCUUACGGGAAAC
This 549-nucleotide ribosomal RNA is filed under the name uncultured Glomus. RNAcentral describes it as "SSU rRNA". It matches the Rfam family "Eukaryotic small subunit ribosomal RNA", at positions 548 to 1098 of the family's 1831-position model. Lineage: Eukaryota; Fungi; Glomeromycota; Glomeromycetes; Glomerales; Glomeraceae. The record is from RNAcentral.